GAUAGAACAGAGAAAUGUCUGUAAGAUAAAAAUCUCAAGAGGUGGUGACUGAUUGGGUUUGGGCAGUGGGGAAUGAGGAAGAACAGGACUAUGGACGAUACCUAUGCUUCCGGCCUGGGUGCCUGGAUGCAACAUGGAGGUCGUAGAAAAGACUGGGAUUAUGGGGUCAGGUGGAACAGGACCAGAGACAAUCGAGGGCUUUCCUUUCAGACACACUGAGUUUAAAGUGGUUGUGAGACAUGCAAGGGAUGUCUGGGUGGAAAACAUUCAGCUAGUCACUAACAUAUCUUACCAAGAAACGGUCUCCACCAGCAUCUCCACUUUUUCUUCACUUUCUUGAAAUCUGAACUUUUGUUGUUGUUGUUCACAGGCUUAAUCUUCAGCCUCUACACUCCAGAGAUUAAAAAAAGAGAAGGUCCUGCAGAACCACCUGACUUCCAGUCCUGCUCGCGAGUCUGUAUCAGUUGCCUAUUCCAAUCAAGUGACGUACAAAUGACAUACAAUAAUUUAACAGAAUCAAGAAGAAUUGGGGCCUCCCCUGUCCUUUGCGACUCAAACAAGCACAUUAGUCCAUUUUAUAGGAGCAUUUCUAGGAGAGCAGCUUUUAGGAGGGGUGUUUGUGAACAGUAUUGCUAACAACCCAGGCAGGUGGGCUCGCUGACUGCAUGCAUUUCCCUGGAGUUUAAAGUUUCUGGGACCAACAACUGUUAUCUAUGGAAACUUUCCUACUUUCUUUUUGUUCUUAUGUUACCUAAUGUUUGUAUUUAUUGUUUUCCACUAUGUUAUUCCAGGAAAAAUUUGCAAGUGUAUUAUUAAAUAUUAAGUAGAAAUCAUACCAUGCCACUUUGUACAUACAGAUAUUUUAUUCAUAUUUUCUUGUGUUACUUUUAAUAAAUAAUUACUGUACUCAAUACACUAAAAUAUCAUAACAUGACUGUAAAAAUAGCCAUGGUAUUGUCUUUCUUUAAUUAUGGAUAUUUUUGGAUUGAUUAUUAGAAUAUGAGUAUUCACUGAUGAAAGGCAUCUGUAAUAAAUGAGAAAGGGACAAAGGAUCCUCGUAUCAGACCCUGUUAGGGGGAUAGAAAUUUGCCAUUUCUUUGGUCUUUCUGUUUGUAAUUCACACUAUGUAACAAGGAGGUAAGGGCAUUUAUGACACUCUGUACUGCAUUCAUUAAGAUAAUAGGAUCAAGAUUUUUCAUUAAUCCAUUUGGUUGA
Galeopterus variegatus (Sunda flying lemur) is the source of this 1215-nucleotide long non-coding RNA. RefSeq lists it as uncharacterized. The transcript is spliced from 2 exons. Lineage: Eukaryota; Metazoa; Chordata; Mammalia; Dermoptera; Cynocephalidae. The record is from RefSeq and is a predicted model, not a curated record.